This is an RNA transcript of Gallus gallus (chicken), 5817 nucleotides long. It is a transcript of the gene named tetratricopeptide repeat domain 21B, with no coding region annotated. The record is from RefSeq and is a predicted model, not a curated record. The transcript is spliced from 30 exons. Lineage: Eukaryota; Metazoa; Chordata; Aves; Galliformes; Phasianidae.
CCCGCCUCGCAGCCAAUGGUAACAGCCUCUCGUGAAGGCGUUCCCGCCCCCUCUCCUAUGAGCAUCCGGCCUGUUUCGGCGCUUACAGUUUUUCUUCCUGUGUCUCUCCCGCCUCCUUUCUCUUGGAGCCAAUGGCAGCGUGCCGCUGGGCUCUUCCCCUCCCCUUCCGGAGGCCUACGCUGGUGGCGUUGGCUAGCAACGGCGGAGGCGAUGGACGCUGCAGUGCAGCAGGCCCUGCUCAACUACUACUGCCAGGAAUGCUACUUCCACCACGUCCGGGCUGCGGCGGAGGAGGCGCUGGGCCGGCUGGGCAGCGACCCGGUGUUCCAAUUCUACCGGGCGUACGGCGCGCUGCGCACAGGUGAUGUCCAAGAGAGUAUUCGACAACUGGAAUCCAUUAAGAACAAACAGGAGGUGUCACUUUGUGCAAUGAUGGCGCUGAUCUACGCCCACAAAAGAAGCCCUAAUCCAGAUCGGGAUGCUAUUCUAGAGUUGGAUACAAAACUGAAGGAGCAACGUAAAACAGCAGGACAGCAGGCUCUUUACUUCGCUGGCUUAUUUUUGUGGCAUCUUGGUCGUGAAGACAAAGCCCGUGAAUACGUUGAUAGGGUGAUCAAAGUUUCUAAUGGAGAAAAAGAGGGAUUGAUUCUGAAAGCAUGGCUUGAUCUCACUUGUGGGAAAGAAACUCAUAUUAAAAAAGCUUUGAAGUACUUUGAUGAAGCGCUUCAGGAAGGGAAUGAUGUUUUUGCUCUCCUUGGUAAAGCACAGUAUUUUGAGAUCCGACAGAAUUAUUCAGGAGCUCUGGAAAUGGUGAACCAGAUAAUUGCAAACUUUCCAAACUUCAUUCCUGCUUUCAUAAAGAAAAUGAAGCUGCAACUAGCCUUGCAGGACUGGGAGCAGGCAGUUGAAACUGCACAUAGACUAUUGCAGAAAGAUGCUCUCAAUUUAGAGGCCACAAGAAUGGAGGCCCUGCAUUUUCUGUGCAGAGAAGGAAAGAUGCGUGAGGCUUCGGCAAGACUAAGUGACCUCAUUAAAGCAUUGGACAGGUUGGAGCCGCGUAAUUCACAGCUCUUCUAUAAAAUGGCUUUAGCUUUCAGUAGAACAUGUGGCCGGAACCAACUCAUCCUUCAACAUACACAAACAUUAGUUGAAAGAGCAUUUAAUUUGGAUUCUGACAAUGCAGAAUUUGCUACGGAGCUUGGCUACCAAAUGAUUUUACAAGGGAAAGUGAAAGAAGCUUUAAAAUGGUAUCAGACUGCUAUGACACUUGAUGAGACAAGCGUUUCUGCCCUAACUGGAAUUAUUCGUUGUCAGCUAAUACAAGGGCAGCUGGAAGAUGCAGAACAGCAGCUGGAGUUUCUUAAUGAAAUCCAACAGUCCAUUGGAAAAUCUGGGGAAUUAUCUUUCUUGCGUGCGGUCCUUGCUAUGAAGAAGCAUAAGAGACAAGAAGAAGUGAUUGCCUUGCUGAACGAUGUUCUGGAUACCCACUUCUCAGCUUUGCAUGGUUUUCCUCUUGGUGUGGAGUAUUUUGAAAAACUGAAUCCUGAUUUCCUGCUAGAAAUUACUAGGGAAUAUCUUAAUUUUUGCCCAGCAGAGCCUGCAAGUCCUGGGCAGUCUCCUUCACCACUUCUCAAGCACUGUGCUUCUGUUCUUGAAACUGUGGUAAAAACUGUGCCAGGUCUUCAACAAGCUGUUUUUUUAAUUGCAAAGGUGAAAUAUUUAUCAGGGGAUAUUGAAGCAGCCCACACUAAUCUUCGUUACUGUCUGGAAAGGGAUCCUUCUUAUGCAGAUGCACACUUACUGAUGGCCCAGGUCUAUUUGGCUCAGAACAAUCCUAAACUGUGUUCUCAAUCCCUGGAACUCUGCCUGAGCUACAAUUUUGAGGUGAGAGAGCAUCCGGUUUAUCACUUAAUUAAGGCUCAAACCCAGAAGAAGAUGGGUGAAUUAUCAGAAGCUAUCAAGACCUUACAGAUGGCGAGGAAUUUGCCUGGGAUGAGAAAACAUACAGCUUCCUCAAAGACGAAAGGAAAAAGAAUUGAAAUUGAUGCAAGUGAUCGUGUGGCUGUCUUUCUAGAAUUAGUAGAAGCUCAUUGCUUGAAUGGAGAGCCGCAUGAGGCUGCUGUAGUACUGCAAGAUGCCAUUGAUGAAUUCUCUGGAACUCCUGAGGAACUAAGGGUCAUGAUUGCAAAUGCAGAUCUGGAAAUUGCUCAAGGAGAUGUUGAACAAGCCUUGACUAUGCUCCGAAGUAUUACACCUGAGCAGCCUUACUUUGUACAAGCUAAGCUGAAGAUGGCAGACAUCUAUCUGCAGUGCAGGAGAGAUAAGAAGUUAUAUGCCGCCUGCUACAGAGACCUAGUAGAAAAACUGCCAAGUGCUCAUACAUUUCUUCUUCUUGGUGAUGCAUAUAUGAAUAUUCAAGAGCCUGAUGAAGCCAUAGAAGUCUACGAGCAGGCUUUGAAGAAAAAUCCAAAAGAUCCAGCUUUGGCAAGUAAAAUUGGAAAAGCCUUAAUCAAAACACAUAACUAUUCAAAGGCAAUCAGUUACUAUGAGGCUGCCUUGAAAAGUGGUCAGCAGAAUUUUCUUUACUAUGACUUGGCUGAACUUUUAAUGAAACUAAAGCAGUAUGAAAAGGCAGAAGUAGUACUUCAGCAAGCUUUAGAUCAUGAGUAUGUUAAUGAACUGUCUUCUCUGAUGGAAGAUGGACGUUACCAGGUUCUGUUAGCAAAAAUUUACAGCAAAAUGGAGAAGAUUGAUGAAGCUAUCACUUCAUUACAGCAGGCUCGGGAAUUACAAGCCAGAGUACUUAAACGGGCUCAGACAGAGCAGCCAGAUGCAGUUCCUGCACAGAAACAGUUAGCAGCUGAAAUUUGUGCUGAGAUUGCAAAGCAUUGUACAGUUCAGCGAAACUAUGAAAAAGCAAUUAAAUUUUACAAAGAAGCACUUGUUCACUGUGAAACUGAUAAAAAGGCAAUGUUGGAACUAGCACGUUUGUAUCUUGCACAAGAUGAUAGUGACGCCUGUCAGCAUCAGUGUUCCUUGUUACUGAGGAGUGAGCAAGAUAACGAAGCAGCAACAAUGAUGAUGGCUGACCUCAUGUUCAGGAAGCAAGACUAUGAACAAGCAGUCUUUCAUUUCCAGCAGCUCCUCGAACGCAAGCCAGAUAACUAUGCCACUCUGUCACGAUUAAUUGAUCUGUUAAGAAGAGCUGGGAAACUAGAAGAAGUCCCAAGAUUUCUUUUAAUGGCUGAAAAACAUUCUUCUAGAGCAAAGCUCGAACCAGGCUUUCACUACUGCAAAGGACUGUAUCUCUGGUAUACAGGUGAACCAAAUGACGCACUCCGCCACUUUAAUAAAGCUCGAAAGGACAAUGACUGGGGACAGAAUGCAGUCUACAACAUGAUUGAAAUUUGUUUGAACCCAGAUAAUGAAACUAUAGGUGGUGAAGUCUUUGAAAAUCUGGAUGCUGACAUAGGUAAUUCAACAGAGAAGCAGGAGUCUGUGCAGUUGGCUGUAAGAACAGCAGAAAAUCUUCUGAAGGAACUCAAGCCUCAGACCAUUCAGGGCCACAUUCAGCUGCGAAUCAUGGAAAAUUAUUGUCUCAUGGCAACCAAACAGAAAUCAAACGUCGAACGAGCACUGAACACUUUCACUGAAAUAGUAGUGGCUGAGAAGGAUCAUAUACCAGCACUUCUGGGAAUGGCUACAGCCUACAUGAUCUUGAAACAGACUCCACGAGCUAGAAAUCAGUUAAAGCGGAUUUCAAAAAUGAACUGGAAUCCCAUUGAUGCAGAGGAGUUUGAAAAGAGUUGGCUUCUGCUUGCAGACAUAUAUAUUCAGUCUUCAAAAUAUGAUACAGCAGGUGAAUUAUUAAAACAGUGCCUUCGGCAUAACAAGUCCUGUUGCAAGGCUUAUGAAUACAUGGGAUACAUAAUGGAAAAGGAACAAGCGUAUAAAGAUGCAGCAAUAAAUUAUGAGAUGGCCUGGAGAUAUGGAAACCAAUCAAAUCCAACAAUAGGUUACAAGCUGGCUUUCAAUUACCUGAAAGGAAAGAGAUAUGUUGAUGCAAUUGCUAUUUGUCAUAAGGUCCUUGAAGCACAUCCAAACUAUCCAAAGAUCAGAAAGGAAAUACUUGACAAGGCCCGUGCAUCAUUAAGAGCAUAACUUUUUUUUUUUGAAGCUAAUUGACUUAUUAGUAUAAGGUGCCUUCAGAAACUGUUGCAGUGACAGAGACCGUAUCAACACAAAUGUAUUGUGAACAUGAUUAAUUUGCAUUGAAUUAGAAGUCUGGAUCAUUUUCAAGAAAAGUCUGCAGCCCUGGAAGGAACUGUAGCUAUUCAGCAGAAAAUACUGCUUGCAUGUAUGGUACAUAAAACAUCAUCCAGAAAUAAAAAAUAACAAAGACCACAAGCAUCUCUAUAGAAUACUGCCCAAGUGCAUUUCAGAUAAACACACAACUUGGAUUCUAGUGACUUACUGGAGAUUGAUAUAUAUCCUGAAUGCAAUGAUGCUACCUACUGGACAUUUCUAGAUCCUGCAUUCAAGGAAGUUCUGAGCUUUUGGUCAGCCAAACUAAAAUUAAUGGAAACUAACAGGUAACGGGUGUAUAAUACUUCUACAAGUUUGGUAUGAAAGAGUUGACAAAAGACUUGAGUAAGUGGCCUCUCCUUCCACAGAUAACCUUGAAGCUUGUGCUGUAAAUGUAUUUUUUUUUGUACUGAGCACAAUACGGGAAGAAAAUGACUUAGGUGAUUGAGGGAAACUGAUAGUAUGGGAGUAGGAAGAGGGACUUGGAAGGAUUUGAAGAAUGCUGAGGCUGGGAGGAGUUAUAAGGAAGCUGGCCUUUGGGAAUCAGAUUAUGAAUCCUUAAGCUGCUGGAUUUUUUUUUUUUUUUUCACUGGUAAAAGAUUAAGUGCAUAGGGCUCUUCAAGGCAGUUUCUAAUAAGAGAGCAUUUCUUUAUCCACAGACUUUUCUGUAUGAGAUCGAUGUCUUUCCGCUUGCUCCCUAGCAUUGGAAUAACUUAGCUCAAGUUUAGAAUAAAAAUAGAUACUUUUAUGUUGGUUCAUGCAAGACGUGUUCAAAAUAGGUAAAACUAAUCUGUAUCUACACCCACUUUUUUAUUUUAUUAUAAGCAUAAGAUGCAUAUUGCCAUUUCAUAAGAUGGUUCAUAAGAUGAUAUGAUGCAGAAAUUAGUUGAUAGAAAUUGGUCUUAGACUUGAAGCUUUUCCUUGCUAAUUUAUGGUGGAGAUUUUUGUUGAUUUUAGCAUGAAAGAAAAGAUUUCUGGAAUCCUGUUAGGCUUCCUGAACACAUCUAGUCACUAAUGUGCUUUUUUUAUGAGUUAAGUCUUUAAAAUAAGUGUGCAGUUGAGAAACAUCAUUAGAUUUCAAUUAAAGAAACGGUGGCUAUAAGUAAGUCUUUUGGAGGAAAUUUUGCUUUAAUAAAAUAUUAACAGAAGGGAAUGGUCAUCCCAUCCCCUUUUGGUUUGUGUAAGUCAGUUUAAGUUUUUAUCCUCAAUAUUUUUUUUCUUCUUUCAGUGCAGAAGGAAUGGUACUGUUUCAUUUCUCUUUUACUUUAAGCAUGAAUUCCAGCUUUCCUUCUGCUUUUACAGUUCUUAUUUUAAAAUUCAUGUCCUGGUAGCUUUUUUUCAGUCCCUUAAUAAAUGGCUUUGAAUGGAAGAGACUCCUGGAGGAUGAGAGGGAGGAUGGAGGGCAGUCAGUAAUGCUUGUUUCAAAGAGCUGCAGUCUUUAGCAUGAUGUUGCUUGGCAACCCAUCUUCCACUUUGCCUUUGUUGAAUAAAAGAGGAGAGCAAAGCUGUGGA